RNAcentral lists this small RNA (286 nucleotides) under Sulfitobacter sp. HI0023. RNAcentral describes it as "Oceanibulbus sp. HI0023 5' ureB small RNA". It matches the Rfam family "5' ureB small RNA". Lineage: Bacteria; Pseudomonadati; Pseudomonadota; Alphaproteobacteria; Rhodobacterales; Roseobacteraceae. The record is from Rfam by way of RNAcentral.
CGUCUUCGAUCUGUUGCGGGCAGAUGAAGUGGAUAUGGCUGUCGAAACCACCCGCCGUCAGGAUGCGGCCCUCACCCGCGAUCACUUCGGUUCCGGGGCCGACAAUGAUGUUCACGCCCGGCUGUAUGUCCGGGUUCCCGGCCUUGCCGAUGGCCGCGAUACGCCCCUCCUUCAAGCCCACGUCGGCCUUGUAGAUGCCGGUGUAAUCCACGAUCAGCGCAUUGGUGAUCACGGUAUCGACCGCGCCGGCUGCACGCGUGGCCUGCGAUUGGCCCAUGCCAUCACG